AUAAAAACGGGAAGUUGAGGUGCAGAGAAGCAGAAAUUUAUUAGUAAUACAAGGAGACAUCGAUCGCUUCUAACGAAAAUCUUUGUUAAUUAAAUAAAUAAAAUCAAAGAUGUCCAAAUUUAUCAUUUUAAUGCUGGUAUAUAUGUUGAUCGUAAAUAUUUGUGCUGAAAAGUGUUUACAAACUGGCAGAAAUUGUGAAGAAAAUGACGCGUGUUGCAGUGAGAAGUGCGAAGAGUAUCAAGGGGCAAAGUAUUGUUUCCCAUCAGAACAAGAAAUGGAAGCAAUGAAGGCAUCUUUGCCUUAUAUGGGUAAAGAUGCAGUUUUAAAAAUUCAUGCUUUUUGUAAAUCGAUGGAUGAUUAAAAAUUAUACAAUGUGUAAUUAAUAAUUUGUAAUUCGUUUGAUGAUAAAAUAAAUAAUUAUUUGUCAUCAGCCUCCAAAAAUAUUAUUUUAGUUCAUUUUUAUUGCUAACUAUCAAUUUUAUUAUACAUAGAUAUAUGAAGUUUCACAUGCUGGUAGCACUCGCCUAUGGCUCGUGAUGCCAAGUCCUACUAGAUUUAAUAAUUUAAAAGAGCGGCUAAUAGACUUUACGUCAGUAGCAAAAGUUGGGACAAAAUUUUCCGAAAAAUUUCCCUUAAAAAUUGUAUUACGAGACAAAAUAUUCUAUGAGGCGACUUGGGCCACUUUCAUUAUUUUUAAAAAAUAAUUUAAAUUUCAAGUGACGUCUCGAUUUUUCAUACAAAUUUUGAAUGUAUGCAGAAAAAAAAGAUUUCUUGGCGCAAUAAAUUUUUACUCGCUCCAAAAAAAUUUUUACUUGUCCUGAUAAAUUUUUUCCAUUUUUUACUAAAAUCAAAAAUUUUUUUAGAGCGUGAAAAAAAUUAUUGCGCUAAGAAAUUUUUUCCAGUCCAAAAUAAAGUUCCUGUACAAAUAUGAGUUGAUAUUUAGAGGAAAAAAUAGUGGAAAAAAAUUAUUUAAAGUUUGAAAUUUUAUACCUCAGCCAUGGCUCAUUGUACAGAUCUCAGAAAAUAUUUUUUAGGAAUUUGAAUGCUCUAAAAAAAAUCUCUUAUUAUUUUUUGAUAAAUUCAUCUGUUCAAAAGAUUUGGGCUGAAAUAAUUGUUAUAAACUUUCAGUAAAAAUAAAUUUAUGUAAAAUAUUAAAUAUGCAUUUUAUCUAUUGGAGGAAAAAAAAUUUAGACAAUUGCCACAAGGUUGUCGAUGACGUUUGCAUAACGAUUAUCGAUUAGAACAAUUAAAAUAAUUAAUAUAAUAAGCUUGAUAAAUAACCAUUUAAAUUUUGAAUAAAAAGGGGUAGAGGUACAGAGAAGCAGAAAUUCAUUAGUAAUACAAGAAGACAUCGAUCCCUUCUAACAAAAUUCUUUGUUAAUUAAAUAAAUAAAUUCAAAGAUGUCCAAGUUUAUUAUUUUAAUGCUGGUAUCUAUGUUGGUCGUCAAUAUUUGCGCUCAAGAGUGUGGAGAAACUGGCAAAUAUUGUGAAGACAGUGACGAGUGUUGCAGUAAGAAGUGCAAAGAGUUUCAAGGGGCAAAGAAUUGUUUCCCAUCAGAACAAGAAGUGGAACAACUGAAGGCAUCUUUGCCUUAUAUGGGUAAAGAUGGAAUUGCAAGAAUUUAUGGUUUUUGUAAAUCGAUGGAUAAAUAAAAAUUAUACAAUGUGUAAUUAAUAAUUUAUAAUUCGUUUGAUGAUAAAAUAAAUAAUUACUUGUCAUCAGCCU
Molecule: long non-coding RNA, 1726 nt
Organism: Microplitis mediator
Lineage: Eukaryota; Metazoa; Arthropoda; Insecta; Hymenoptera; Braconidae
Exons: 5
Source: RefSeq, a predicted model, not a curated record